Molecule: long non-coding RNA, 475 nt
Filed under: Capsella grandiflora
Lineage: Eukaryota; Viridiplantae; Streptophyta; Magnoliopsida; Brassicales; Brassicaceae
Description: long non-coding RNA (CGRA_LNC001280)
Source: RNAcentral
CGAACCCACCAAAAACUAUAAACGUUAAGUUGUACUUGAUUUAUAUAUUUGUAAAUGUAAUUACAUAUCUAUUUUAACGUUAGAACCAUAGAACUACAUACUGUAAAUGACCUUUGACUACGAGUCUCAUGUAAAUAUAUAUGUACGUACGUUCCAGUUUCUCCAACGACAGCUAAAACAUUGUCAUUACAAUUAUAUAGUUACACUUAAAAACCAAAUUUAAUAAGGGUCCAUUUGCUAUAAAAGAAUGUCACAUGUGGUACUAACUCAGUAAAUAAUGGAAGACAUAACUCUAUGUGGCUCCAUGUGUCCCAAUGUUCAUAAUUAUACACUACAAUGCCAAGAGUAUAGUUUCAGCCACUACCACUACAACUGAAUACUUCAAUGUUGACUAUUGUGGUUCUUUUAUAUAUACACAUUUUUAUUUUAAUGGGUAGAAAAUUGUUGAUAUUAUUAAUGAACCACUACAUAAUUG